This 429-nucleotide ribosomal RNA is filed under the name Acidobacteriota bacterium. Its description in RNAcentral is "Acidobacteria bacterium partial 16S ribosomal RNA". It matches the Rfam family "Bacterial small subunit ribosomal RNA", at positions 355 to 776 of the family's 1533-position model. The record is from RNAcentral. Lineage: Bacteria; Pseudomonadati; Acidobacteriota.
UGGGGAAUUUUGGACAAUGGGGGAAACCCUGAUCCAGCCAUCCCGCGUGUGCGAUGAAGGCCUUCGGGUUGUAAAGCACUCUUGGCAGGAAAGAAACGUCAUGGGUUAAUACCCCGUGAAACUGACGGUACCUGCAGAAUAAGCACCGGCUAACUACGUGCCAGCAGCCGCGGUAAUACGUAGGGUGCAAGCGUUAAUCGGAAUUACUGGGCGUAAAGCGUGCGCAGGCGGUUCGGAAAGAAAGAUGUGAAAUCCCAGAGCUCAACUUUGGAACUGCAUUUUUAACUACCGGGCUAGAGUGUGUCAGAGGGAGGUGGAAUUCCGCGUGUAGCAGUGAAAUGCGUAGAUAUGCGGAGGAACACCGAUGGCGAAGGCAGCCUCCUGGGAUAACACUGACGCUCAUGCACGAAAGCGUGGGGAGCAAACAGG